UACGUAGGGUGCGAGCGUUGUCCGGAAUUAUUGGGCGUAAAGGGCUCGUAGGCGGUCUGUCACGUCGGGAGUGAAAACACGGGGCUUAACCCCGUGCCUGCUUCCGAUACGGGCAGACUAGAGGUAUGCAGGGGAGAACGGAAUUCCUGGUGUAGCGGUGGAAUGCGCAGAUAUCAGGAGGAACACCGGUGGCGAAGGCGGGUCUCUGGGCCGUUACUGACGCUGAGGAGCGAAAGCGUGGGGAGCGAACAGG
Molecule: ribosomal RNA, 253 nt
Filed under: uncultured bacterium
Lineage: Bacteria
Description: partial 16S ribosomal RNA
Rfam family: Bacterial small subunit ribosomal RNA
Source: RNAcentral